GGGGCUGAAGUGGAAUUCGACAGGAAGUAUAGAAUCUAAGUGCAUGUGAGCCGGUAAGCUCUCAAACUGCCAACAGCAAUAAACGCAAACAAUACAAAUUACGCUCCAGCUUACGCAAAAGUAGCGUGAGUCUAAUUCCUUUUGGGAGCCGACACUCUAGGGGUUCUAGCCUCUUAGAUUCUGUCGUCAUAAUGCUAGAUGCUUGCUAGGCAAUGUCUUGGGUCUAGCAAAAAGACAAAGAGACUGCUUGUCUUGAGGAGUUUGGGGGUUUUCUCACAGGACAAAAAGACAAAAAUCCUAUCUAAACAUGUAGAAGCUUAGUGGAAGUGCUUUUUGGACUGGGGUUCGAUCCCCCACAGCUCCACCA
Molecule: transfer-messenger RNA, 367 nt
Filed under: Helicobacteraceae
Lineage: Bacteria; Pseudomonadati; Campylobacterota; Epsilonproteobacteria; Campylobacterales
Also listed under: 2 other names
Description: Helicobacter_F avicola Standard tmRNA
Rfam family: transfer-messenger RNA
About the family: Bacterial tmRNA, also known as 10Sa RNA or SsrA, is named for its dual tRNA and mRNA-like properties. Its role is to liberate the mRNA from a stalled ribosome.
Source: RNAcentral